RNAcentral lists this ribosomal RNA (506 nucleotides) under uncultured bacterium. Its description in RNAcentral is "partial 16S ribosomal RNA". It matches the Rfam family "Bacterial small subunit ribosomal RNA", at positions 29 to 523 of the family's 1533-position model. The record is from RNAcentral.
AGUGAACGCUGGCGGUAGGCCUAACACAUGCAAGUCGAACGGCAGCACAGGAGAGCUUGCUCUCUGGGUGGCGAGUGGCGGACGGGUGAGGAAUACAUCGGAAUCUACUCUGUCGUGGGGGAUAACGUAGGGAAACUUACGCUAAUACCGCAUACGACCUACGGGUGAAAGCCGGGAACCUUCGGGCCUUGCGCGAUUGAAUGAGCCGAUGUCGGAUUAGCUAGUUGGCGGGGGAAAGGCCCACCAAGGCGACGAUCCGUAGCUGGUCUGAGAGGAUGAUCAGCCACACUGGAACUGAGACACGGUCCAGACUCCUACGGGAGGCAGCAGUGGGGAAUAUUGGACAAUGGGCGCAAGCCUGAUCCAGCCAUACCGCGUGGGUGAAGAAGGCCUUCGGGUUGUAAAGCCCUUUUGUUGGGAAAGAAAUCCAGCUGGCUAAUACCCGGUUGGGAUGACGGUACCCAAAGAAUAAGCACCGGCUAACUUCGUGCCAGCCGCCGCCGUAA